This 3853-nucleotide long non-coding RNA is filed under the name Fragaria vesca (wild strawberry). RNAcentral's name for it is "long non-coding RNA (FVES_LNC003386)". Lineage: Eukaryota; Viridiplantae; Streptophyta; Magnoliopsida; Rosales; Rosaceae. The record is from RNAcentral.
UCGAGUUGAGAUGGGGCAACUGCAUGUGUAGUGCGAUCGAUUUAUCACUUUCAUUGGCUUCUUGCUACCCUUUUUAAUUUUCUUCGCUGUUCAAUUAGUUAGGUUGUAUCUACAGCCAGAUGUGCAGUCAAUACGAAUCAUACGAUCAAUCGAUCACCUAAGAGCACCCGGCCCAGGAAACAACGGAUCUUUAUGUCAUGUUUUGUACCAUUGAGAGAAAAGUAACGUACAUACACCAUCUUCUGCAUAUUUAGUUCAAUCGAGUGUUUCUAUUAUUCUCGACGUUAUCUAAGCUCGGACCAGAUAACCAGGUUAAAUGAGUACAUAUAUUCUGUCAAGUACAUGACUUUAGAACUUGUAAAUUAAAGGACACGAUCUUGAUGGUGUUAAGGGGAAACUUCUCCCUGCGGCGCUACUCUAUGCAGCCUGCUUUCAAGACAAUUUUUUUAGGGAAAAUGCCCAAAUGCAUAAAAACAGGGAUUUUAAUACCUACUUCAAUGUAAAUCUUUUCUGUUAGCCAAUUUCAAUGAUUCUUGUGCAAAAGACAUUAUUACCCUUUAUAGAAUUAAAACCCCACACAAAUCUCAUCUCUCUCUCUCUCUCUCUCUCUCUCUCUCUCUCUCUCUCUCUCUCUCUCUCUCUCUCUCUCUCUCUCUCUCUCUCUCUCUCUCUCUCUCUCUCUCUCUCUCUCUCUCUCUACACCGUCACUGCCCGGCAAGCCAUGAGGAAGAGUGCGUCAUCGCCGGCAAGCCAAGCCACGGAGCAGUGCGUCGUCGCCGGCAAGCCACAAGGAGGAGCUCCGAUCUCCAACUCCAAGCAUCUUCAUCAUGUUGUCUCGGUCCAACACGCCUUUGCCGACGAGUCGAUUUGCUUGAGGCUCGAGGAGAAGAUUCGAUCUCCAAGCAACCGAGCUCUGAGUAGACCGGAUCUGGUCGAGAUCUGAGCAGGUCGGAUCUGCUCCAAGCAGGCCGAGUUGGCGAGGACGACGGGGAAGCGAAGGCACGUGAGGGAGUCGGAGCAGUCCACUUUCAGAAGCUUGUUACCGCUCUGCACGGACUACAGACUUGGCGAGGACGACGGGGAAGCGGAGGCGCGUGAGGGAGUCGGAGCCGUCCACUUCCAGGAGCUUGUUGCCGCUCCGCACGGACUGCUUUAGGGCUAAACUGAGGAGCACCAAGAGCAGGCUGAGAGGGGGAAGAAAUUCCCGUUGGGUGCCCAGAGUAAAUUUUUAAUUUUUUUUUUUUACGAGAUCAGAGCAACGUUUCUUUGCGUGUGUGCAUUUUGUGUACUUAUGUUUUGUUUAUUUGGAUGUAAUUGUUUGCAUUUAGAGCCUUAUUUAUAUGAAAAUAUCAAUUUGGGGGUCAUUACUGGGGUCAGUAACUAUUAUUUAGGGUUAGUAGCUAUUAUUAGGGGUUAGUAAUCAAGUCAUUGGAGGUCAGUAAUUUGAUCAUUAGGGUCAGUAACUUGAUUAUUUUCUAGUAUUUCUUCUGUUCUAUUACAUUAAGCUGAAAUAAGUAGAUUAGUGUGGGUCAGUAACUAAUUAUUGGGGGUCAGUAACUAAUUAUUGGGGAUCAGUAACUCAGUUACUGGGAGUCAGUAACUGGUUACUAGGUGUCAGUAAAUAGGGGUCAGUAACUGGUUACUAGGUGUCAGUAAUUGGUUAUUAAGGGUCAUUAACUGGUUAUUGGGGGUCAGUAACUAGUUACAGGAAAAAUUCCGGUGACCGGAGUCUAGCGGUCGGGGAAAUUCCUGUGACUGGAGUCCGGCUGUCGGGAAAAUUCUGAUGACCGGAGUCCUGCGGCCGGUGACCAGAGUCCGGUGAGAUUCCCGCCAAGUAUUCUCUCUUUCAUUUUCUCUCUCUCUCUCUAUGCAUGUUUAAGAGGUGAGGGCAAAAUAGUCUUAAAAUAAUAUGGGUUGUUAAGACUUUAGUAAAGAUUUGUGCAUUUGGGCAUAAAGAUUUGUGCAUUUAGGCAUAAAAAGGGUUACCUUAUAUUGAAAUGGGCUAAUGAAAAAGAUUGUCAUUGGAAUGAAAAAUAAGAGGUUUAAAUUAAUACUAAAUGGACAUUUUUCCUUUUUUUAAAAAACAAUACACCCACCCACCCCCUGUGAGUGUAUGUGUGGUAUAUAGCGCUGCACAACAGACCCACCCAAAUGUCAUGCAAUUGUAUUUAUCAAACUUGUAAGCCUCUUUUCUUUCUUUGGUUGUUUUCCUUUUUAUAUAUUUUUAGUUAUAAUCUCGUGUGUACAAUGUUCUAGUUUUAGUGAAAAACAUUCACGGGCUCAUUCUCAUUGUUUCCUCUCAGAACAUUCCUCUCAUUAUCUAUUGUUAUUAGAAGUGCUUAAGUCCCAAAAAUAAAGACUUAAUUGCCAAUUUGUUAUCUUAAGAUUCACCUAAGUGUCAAUUUGCUACCUUUGCUUUUAUUUCUGUCAAUUUGCUACCCUAGCUACACAAAAUUAGCUGAUUUGCUACCUUAGCUUUUAUUUAUGUCAAUUUGUUAUCCUAGCUUCACAAAAUUAGCUGAUUUGGUUUCUAAAUUAACCAAUUUGCUACCUUUUGUCAUAUAAAUUGAUCUAUUUUUCCGUCCAAACAUUGAUAUCUUUUGAAAAUGUCGGAUAGCAAAUAGUUAAAUUUCAAUAUAUAGGUAAGCAAAUUGGUUAAUAUUGAAAGUCUAGAGUCAUAAAUUUGAAAUAAGGGUAGCGAGAUGGCUAAAAUAAAAUAUAGGGUAGCAAAUGGUUAAUUUUAAAAAGCAAGAGUAACAAAUUAACAGAAAUAAAAGCUAGGGUAGCAAAUUUACACUAAGAUGAAUUGUAGAGUAGCAAAUUAGCAAUUAUGCCAAGAAUACAUGAAGGGAAAGAUAUUGGUGUGUGAAUCAUACUCUCAUAUAUAUCCCUGGUUCAGAAGUGCUUAAGUCCCAAGAAUUUGGCGGAGUUCUGACCAAUCGGUCUAUGUUCUACAAUCGAUAAGCUGAUUUCAAAAACUGUGGCAAAGAAGUACCUAUCUGAGAACAUUUCUAUCGCUCGAUCAAAGUGCUUUUGUAAUAGGGAGGAACGUUCGAUUCCCGUUUUGAGACUAUUCACACCAUCAGAGUUCAGAAGAACACGGCGCGCAUCACCGAAAAUGAUAAUCAAGUUGGAUAUCAGCAAAGAUCACAAUCUAUCUAACGCAUGCAUUUUCAUUGAAUCUGUGAUGAAUAAAAUAGACAGUUCAGUACGGUAAGACAAACGUACCUGCUAACCAAGCCUAACCAAGCCUUGUUGUUAUCGGUCAAGCUAGCUAGUAAUCAUUGCUUAUUCAUAAUCAGAUAUAUAUUCUCUCCAAAUUUUGAAAAGGGAGUUGAGAUGGGGCAAGUGCAUGUGUGGUACGAUCGAUUUAUCACUUUCAUUGCCACCCUUUUUUUUUUGUUCGGUGUCCAAGAUAUUAAUCUGGUAGGACUUUAGAGUUUAGAUCUGUCUAUAUAUCUUUGUGUUUGUUAAUGGGGUUGGAGAAGUACUUAAUUUAAGAAUGAUAGGGCAAAAAAAAUAACCCUAAGAAAGAGAUAGACACGUACCAUCAUAACCAUUAGGUUGAAAUUUUUUUAGUACUUGAGAAUAUUGAAACUUCAUAGUUUAAAAUUGAUUGUUAAAUUAACUCCUUGAGUGACACACACGUACGACGAACAACUUAUAAUCUAACGGUUAUUAGCUUCAAAUUUCAAUACUCUAAAUUAAUCAAAAGGAAUAUGCUAGCAUAAUUCGCAAUUUACGUUAUGCAACUGAUUGCACUAGACCUGAUAUUGCAUAUGCAGUUGGAGUACUUUGCAGGUUCACAAGCAAACUAGGUAGAGAACAUUGACAAACAAUUGAGCGUGUCAUG